Molecule: long non-coding RNA, 276 nt
Organism: Drosophila navojoa
Lineage: Eukaryota; Metazoa; Arthropoda; Insecta; Diptera; Drosophilidae
Source: RefSeq, a predicted model, not a curated record
UAACAACAACCGCAACAAACAUAGGCAGAAGCAAAAAUAAACAACAACAAUAAUUCCGCUCUCUCUCCCUCUCACUCUAUCUACAUAUCUCACGCUCUCUUGCGAUCUCUAAUUAUGUCUAUGUAUUGGCCUUGCGGUGUGGCAGCGACGGGAGUUCCGUUUAGUCGGUCACGCCACCACACAAGCGACAACAACAGCAACGGCAACUGCUGUGGGUCAUGCGCACUACAAAUGACGUCAGAUGUAGCCAUCAAAUUUGAAAGUGCGCAAAAAAAA